UAAUCCUCAGUGUUGAGGGUCGUGGCCU
Molecule: small RNA, 28 nt
Filed under: Bombyx mori (domestic silkworm)
Lineage: Eukaryota; Metazoa; Arthropoda; Insecta; Lepidoptera; Bombycidae
Description: ovarian small RNA-19662
Source: RNAcentral